GAUGAACGCUGGCGGCGUGCCUAAUACAUGCAAGUCGAGCGAACGGACGAGAAGCUUGCUUCUCUGAUGUUAGCGGCGGACGGGUGAGUAACACGUGGAUAACCUACCUAUAAGACUGGGAUAACUUCGGGAAACCGGAGCUAAUACCGGAUAAUAUUUUGAACCGCAUGGUUCAAAAGUGAAAGACGGUCUUGCUGUCACUUAUAGAUGGAUCCGCGCUGCAUUAGCUAGUUGGUAAGGUAACGGCUUACCAAGGCAACGAUGCAUAGCCGACCUGAGAGGGUGAUAGGCCACACUGGAACUGAGACACGGUCCAGACUCCUACGGGAGGCAGCAGUAGGGAAUCUUACGCAAAGGGCGAAAGCCUGACGGAGCAACGCCGAGUGAGUGAUGAAGGUCUUCGGAUCGUAAAACUCUGUUAUUAGGGAAGAACAUAUGUGUAAGUAACUGUGCACAUCUUGACGGUACCUAAUCAGAAAGCCACGGCUAACUACGUG
RNAcentral lists this ribosomal RNA (497 nucleotides) under uncultured bacterium. RNAcentral describes it as "partial 16S ribosomal RNA". It matches the Rfam family "Bacterial small subunit ribosomal RNA", at positions 28 to 507 of the family's 1533-position model. The record is from RNAcentral.